GUAAGACCCCUUGUAGACGACGAGGUAGAUAGGUUGGAGGUGGAAGUGCAGCAAUGCAUGGAGCUGACCAAUACUAAUCGGUCGAGGGCUUAUCCU
RNAcentral lists this ribosomal RNA (96 nucleotides) under Paenibacillus sp. VMFN-D1. RNAcentral describes it as "partial 23S ribosomal RNA". It matches the Rfam family "Bacterial large subunit ribosomal RNA", at positions 2828 to 2925 of the family's 2925-position model. The record is from RNAcentral. Lineage: Bacteria; Bacillati; Bacillota; Bacilli; Caryophanales; Paenibacillaceae.